Molecule: ribosomal RNA, 253 nt
Filed under: uncultured bacterium
Lineage: Bacteria
Description: partial 16S ribosomal RNA
Rfam family: Bacterial small subunit ribosomal RNA
Source: RNAcentral
UACAGAGGUCCCAAGCGUUGUUCGGAUUCACUGGGCGUAAAGGGUGCGUAGGCGGUCGGGAAAGUCGGAUGUGAAAUCUCCGGGCUUAACCCGGAAAUGGCAUUGGAAACUACCUUGCUAGAGGUUUUGAGGGGGGACUGGAAUUCUCGGUGUAGCAGUGAAAUGCGUAGAUAUCGAGAGGAACACCGGUGGCGAAGGCGAGUCCCUGGAAAACACCUGACACUGAGGCACGAAAGCUAGGGGAGCAAACAGG